RNAcentral lists this non-coding RNA (114 nucleotides) under marine metagenome. Its description in RNAcentral is "Marine metagenome SAM-IV sequence". It matches the Rfam family "SAM (S-adenosyl methionine) riboswitch aptamer". Rfam says of the family: SAM-IV is a mRNA element that regulates gene expression via direct sensing of S-adenosylmethionine (SAM or AdoMet). SAM-IV riboswitches share conserved nucleotide positions with the previously described SAM-I riboswitches sequence analysis and molecular recognition experiments suggest that SAM-I and SAM-IV riboswitches share similar ligand binding sites, but have different scaffolds. The record is from Rfam by way of RNAcentral.
GGUCAUGAGUCUCAGUUCAUAGCCCCGGCUAACUGAGCGGCAACCCUCCACCACGGUGGGGUGCUCCGGGUGAAGACCAGGUUGAUUGCAAAGUGCAAUCAGCAAGCGUGGGUC